ACAGCUUGGUGAAAGCAAGUUAUGCAUCCGAUACUCAAGAUUCGUCAUCUCCAGGGUCCGACGUCCAAUAUUCACCUACACAAAAACAGAGGAGAAACUCAGAAAAUGAAGACGGUCCUUAUAUUUCAACGUCAUCUACGAGUAGUGAUCAAACUCAAGGUUUUCCUUCACUACCACUGCAGCGCUCAAAUAAUGUAAACAUUGUCUUCGCCAAUCGAAUAUCAGAACUGAAACAAAACUUACAGCGCCAUCUUGAGACAACAACCAAUCUCCUCGUCACACUUCAAAGUAUUGAUAUGGAGGAACUAGAGGACAAUCAGAGAUUCAUCAAAUGUGCUUCUAAAUUCUUGCCUUCCUUCAAUUACAGUAGACAGAUGAAUGGAGAUGACGAUAAUGACAACCAAACCAAGACUUCAACGUCACUAGUGUCUGUUUUACAUGAAAACAACACAUUUUGCUCAUCCAGUCAAUCCUGUGGACAUAAUGCACAACAAGAAAACAUCCCAGAAAAUAUCACAUCCACUUCACAAAGAACACCGCAAUUAAGCAACCCCCGACGGGAUCAAACAACGAUGACAUCUAAUACUUCUGCGACGACGACGACGACAACGGAUCCAGUUCCAUUUUUCCCACCCCGUCCGAAUUAUCCUGCUCGUCCGAACUUUCCACCACGUCCGAACUUUCCGCCACGUCCGAAUUUUCCUCCUCAACCAAAUUUUCCAUCCUCGGGACGGACCUCCUCUCUAACAAACGUCGACAAAGAUAAUUUAGAAAAAAUAGGAGAUACUCCAGUUCGUG
Molecule: long non-coding RNA, 798 nt
Organism: Strongylocentrotus purpuratus (purple sea urchin)
Lineage: Eukaryota; Metazoa; Echinodermata; Echinoidea; Camarodonta; Strongylocentrotidae
Exons: 3
Source: RefSeq, a predicted model, not a curated record